CGGGGCGUAGCGCAGUCUGGUAGCGCACUUGACUGGGGGUCAAGGGGUCGGAGGUUCAAAUCCUCUCGUCCCGACCA
This 77-nucleotide transfer RNA is filed under the name Desulfuromonadales bacterium. RNAcentral describes it as "tRNA-Pro". It matches the Rfam family "tRNA". Rfam says of the family: Transfer RNA (tRNA) molecules are approximately 80 nucleotides in length. The record is from RNAcentral. Lineage: Bacteria; Pseudomonadati; Thermodesulfobacteriota; Desulfuromonadia; Desulfuromonadales.